GUGCCAGCCGCCGCGGUAAUACAGAGGUCCCAAGCGUUGUUCGGAUUCACUGGGCGUAAAGGGUGCGCAGGUGGCGCUUCAAGUUUGAUGUGAAAGCUUCGGGCUCAACCCGGAAAUGGCAUUGAAUACUGGAGUGCUGGAGGUUUGGAGGGGGGACUGGAAUUCUCGGUGUAGCAGUGAAAUGCGUAGAUAUCGAGAGGAACACCAGUGGCGAAGGCGAGUCCCUGGACAACACCUGACACUGAGGCACGAAAGCUAGGGGAGCAAACAGGAUUAGAAACCCCGGUAGUCC
This 292-nucleotide ribosomal RNA is filed under the name uncultured bacterium. RNAcentral describes it as "partial 16S ribosomal RNA". It matches the Rfam family "Bacterial small subunit ribosomal RNA", at positions 505 to 796 of the family's 1533-position model. The record is from RNAcentral.